AAACAGACCCGCGAACAUGUUUUAACACUAGGGAUCGCUGCGUGGGGCAACCCCGUUGUGUGUCCUCCACCCGUGUGGGCAACGCCUGCUGCGGGCUAACAAAAACUCAAGCGCGGCAUGCGCCAAGGAAAACUCAUAGGACCGCCCGCCCCCAUCGCCCCGUGGGCGGUUAGCGAGGGGGGUGGUGCGUGCCUCGAAUGUCUAAAUGACUCUCGGCAACGGAUAUCUCGGCUCUCGCAUCGAUGAAGAACGUAGCGAAAUGCGAUACUUGGUGUGAAUUGCAGAAUCCCGUGAACCAUCGAGUCUUUGAACGCAAGUUGCGCCCGAAGCCUCACGGUYRAGGGCACGCCUGCCUGGGCGUCACGCAUCUUGGUGUCCCCCGCCCUCCCCAACAGGAGGCGAUCGGUUGGGACGGAUAUUGGCCUCCCGUGGGCAUACCCCGCGGCCGGCUCAAAUGAAAUCACGUGGCGCCUGCCGUCACGACAAGCGUUGGUUGAGCACUCCACUCUCUAGCUGUCGUGUUGGUCGGAGCACCUCGUAUUGACGGACCCAACSGUGCGACUUGAUUGUGCCUACGUACGCGACCCCAGGUCAGGCGAGACCACCCGCUGAGU
Molecule: ribosomal RNA, 614 nt
Filed under: Buchnera hispida
Lineage: Eukaryota; Viridiplantae; Streptophyta; Magnoliopsida; Lamiales; Orobanchaceae
Description: eukaryotic LSU rRNA
Rfam family: 5.8S ribosomal RNA (bases 208-363)
Source: RNAcentral